UAUCACAGUCCUGCUUUGGUGACGG
This 25-nucleotide microRNA is filed under the name Gyrodactylus salaris (gyrodactylosis fluke). RNAcentral's name for it is "gsa-miR-2a-3p". Its record names the gene gsa-miR-2a-3p. Lineage: Eukaryota; Metazoa; Platyhelminthes; Monogenea; Gyrodactylidea; Gyrodactylidae. The record is from miRBase by way of RNAcentral.